This 1714-nucleotide long non-coding RNA is filed under the name Pan troglodytes (chimpanzee). RNAcentral describes it as "long non-coding RNA NONPTRT004872". Lineage: Eukaryota; Metazoa; Chordata; Mammalia; Primates; Hominidae. The record is from RNAcentral.
CUGUACUUUCCCCACUGGAACUACCUUGGCAACUCUGUUGAAAAUCAACCAACCUUCUAUGUGUGGGUCUAUUUCUGGACUCUAGUAUGUUUUACUGAUCUACAUGACUAUCUUAAUGCCAACGGUAGUGUCUUGAUUACUGUAGCUUUACAGAAAGUCUUGAAAUCAGGUAGUGUAAGUUCUUUUCCAAAAUUGUUUGGACUAUUCUAGGUCCUUUAGAUUUCCAUAUAAACUUUAUCAAAUUGUCCAUGUCUACAAAAACACUGAGAGGUAUCUGUUUCCAUACUUUAAACUCCUCACUGGGCCGGGUGUGGCAGCUCAUGCCUGUCAUCCCAGUAUGUCAGGAAGCUGAGACGGGAGGAUUGCUUGAGGCCAGGAAUUCGAGACUGGGCAACACAGUGAAACACUGUCUCCACUUUAAGUAAUAAUUUAAAAAAUUUUUUAAAAACCCAGCCAUAACAUUUUGUUCUUUAGAAAGUACAGAGGUCCUGGAUAGAUCACAGGAGAUUUGUCUCUUCAAAAUAAACUUGUAACAAAAUUACACUUAUCUUGAAAUAACUUUGUACCAACAAAGUGAUAUAGAUAUAUUUUAAAUGCCGGUACUGACAUUUGAAUUUGCAGUGACUUCAUGCAAGCCAAAAUAAAAAGACUAGCAGGUAAGUUCAUUGCUUAUAAGUUUGUGACUUUUACAAACCCUACGUUUACAUUAGUAAAUAGUAACUGCAGUGCAAAAGCUAUGUGGUAUUCCAGUGGGAUUCUGUGGUAGGAAACUAGAUGUGCAGGAAAGGUUGACAAUGUAUUUGAUUUUAUAGGACUCCUAUUUAGUUACCACAACCUCCUUCUUACUUUAACCUAUACAUGCUAAAUAUAGUCUCUGCAUCUCUCCUUGGUUCUUUCAUUCAUCUUUUUCUGUUCUUUAUAGUUUUCAAUAUACACAUCUAAAAAUACAGUGUACAAGUGUAAAUUAGCCAGUGUACAAGGGAAAGCCUUUUUUUUUUUUUUUUUUGAGACAGAGUCUCGCACUGUCGCCCGGGCUGGAGUGCAGUGGUGUGAUCUCAGCUCACUGCAACCUCCGCCUCCCAGGUUCAAGCGGUUCUUCCGCCUCAGUCUCCCGAGUAGCUGGGAUUACAGGUGCCCCCCACCAUGCCUGGCUGAUUUUUUGUAUUUUCAGUAGAGAUGAGGUUUCACUAUGUUGGCAAGGCUGAUCUCAAACGCCUGACCUCCCAAAGUGCUGGGAUUACAGGUGUGAGCCACCGCACCCAGCCAGGAAAGGCUUUCUUAAGUUUAUUACUAGGUAUUUUCUUCUUUUGAAAAUUGUAAAAGAAAUUUUCUUUUCAUUUGUUCAUUGCUGGUGUAUGAAAGCACUAAUUUUUUGUGUGCUGAUCUUUUACCCUGCAACUUUGCUGAAUUCAUUUAUGAGCUCUAGCUGUGUGUGUGUGUGUGUGUGUGUGUGCGCGCAUGUGUGUGUGUGUAUUUUACAUAAGAAUACGCUCACAACACUGUGCCUAUAGUUAACAAUACUGUAUUCGACAUGGAAAAAUUUGUUAAGAGGACAGAUCUCAUGUUAAGUGUUCUUACUACAAGUUUGUUUUUUAAAAGGGAAUACACUUAUACUCGUAGAAAUUUUGCUGUGUAGAAACAGAGAAGAAAAGUCAAGUCUUCGGCUAUUCAGGAAUAUAAAAUGUCCAUCAAAUUGUUAUAAUUAACUUUUAUA